UUGGUCAUUUAGAGGAAGUAAAAGUCGUAACAAGGUUACUUCUGAGCGCAGCUCCGGAGACCUUGCAACCCCACGGGGAGGCAGCACGACAGUAAUAAAGCUACCGCUUGCAAGUUGGCGAAGGCCAGCGACACAAUCGAAUGCGGGGACCUCCUAAAGCCUGUAACACCAACCGUCCGGGGAAACCUGGGGGGGCCCUCACGGGGUGGUAAGAGAGUACAGGAUGCUACAAUGGACGAUCGCAGCGAAGACCCUACCGGCAAGAGCCCACGGGUACCGUUCACAGACUAGUGAUUGUGGGUGGGGUGCUCGGCACCCCUCUAAGAUAUAGUCGGCCUUGUCCUAAUAGAUGGAGCCCUAGCGCGUCCGUAGGUGAACCUGCGGAAGAUCAUUAUUGAAAAAGACUAGACGCCCCGUUUUUUCAUAAAAUGGGUUCAUACCCACAACCGUGUAUACCUUACCUUUGUUGCUUUGGCAGGCCGCCUCGGGCGUCGGCUCCGGCUGACAGCGCCUGCCAGAGGACCCAAACUCUGUUUUAGUGAUGUCUGAGUAAUAUAUAAUAUUUAAAACUUUCAACAACGGACUCUUGGUUCUGGCAUCGAUGAAGAACGCAGCGAAAUGCGAUAAGUAAUUGAAUUGCAGAAUUCAGUGAAUCAUCGAAUCUUUGAACGCACAUUGCGCCCUUGGUAUUCUGAGGGGCAUACCUGUUCGAGCGUCAUUAUAACCACUCAGCCUAGCUUGGUAUUGGGGUUCGCGUGCUCGCGGCCCUUAAAAUCAGUGCGGUGCCGUCUGGCUCUAAGCGUAGUAAAUCUCUCGCUAUUGAGUCCGUGGUUGCUUGCCAAAACCCCCCACUUUCUUAGGUUGACCUCGGAUCAGGAGGGAUACCCGCUGAACUUAAGCAUAUCAAUAAGCGGAGGAAAGGUUAG
Molecule: ribosomal RNA, 926 nt
Filed under: uncultured fungus
Lineage: Eukaryota; Fungi
Description: eukaryotic LSU rRNA
Rfam family: 5.8S ribosomal RNA (bases 568-718)
Source: RNAcentral